GAUGAAGAACUUAGCGAAAUGCGAUAAGUAAUGUGAAUUGCAGAAUUCAGUGAAUCAUCGAAUCUUUGAACGCACAUUGCGCCCGCUAGUAUUCUGGCGGGCAUGCCUGUCCGAGCGUCAUUUCAACCCUCAAGCCCCCGGGCUUGGUGUUGGGGAUCGGCGAGCCUCCGCGCCCGCCGUCCCCUAAAUCUAGUGGCGGUCUCGCUGUAGCUUCCUCUGCGUAGUAGCACACCUCGCACUGGGAAACAGCGCGGCCACGCCGUUAAACCCCCAACUUCUGAACGUUUGACCUCGGAUCAGGUAGGAAUACCCGCUGAACUUAAGCAUAUCAAUAACGGAGGA
Molecule: unclassified non-coding RNA, 342 nt
Filed under: soil metagenome
Description: partial contains 5.8S ribosomal RNA, internal transcribed spacer 2, and large subunit ribosomal RNA
Rfam family: 5.8S ribosomal RNA (bases 1-120)
Source: RNAcentral